GACGAACGCUGGCGGCGUGCCUAAUACAUGCAAGUAGAACGCUAAAGGAGGAGCUUGCUUCUCUGGAUGAGUUGCGAACGGGUGAGUAACGCGUAGGUAACCUGCCUUGUAGUGGGGGAUAACUAUUGGAAACGAUAGCUAAUACCGCAUAAUAGCAGUUGUUGCAUGAUAACUGUUUGAAAGGUGCAAUUGCACCGCUACCAGAUGGACCUGCGUCGUUUUAGCAAGGUGGUGGGGUAACGGCUCACCAAGGCGACGAUACAUAGCCGACCGGAGAGGGUGGGCAGCCGCACUGGGAGUGUGACCCGGCCCAGACGCCUACGGGUGAGAGCAGGAGGGAAUCGUCGGCAAGGGACGGAAGUCUGACCGAGAAACGCCGAGUGAGUGAAGAAGGUUUUCGGAUCGUAAAGCUCUGUUGUAAGAGAAGAAAGAGUGUGAGAGUGGAAAGUUCACACUGUGACGGUAUCUUACCAGAAAGGGACGGCUAACUACGUG
Molecule: ribosomal RNA, 495 nt
Filed under: uncultured bacterium
Lineage: Bacteria
Description: partial 16S ribosomal RNA
Rfam family: Bacterial small subunit ribosomal RNA
Source: RNAcentral